RNAcentral lists this ribosomal RNA (462 nucleotides) under uncultured bacterium. RNAcentral's name for it is "partial 16S ribosomal RNA". It matches the Rfam family "Bacterial small subunit ribosomal RNA", at positions 28 to 506 of the family's 1533-position model. The record is from RNAcentral.
GAUGAACGCUGACAGAAUGCUUAACACAUGCAAGUCUUUGGCGAAGCUGUGCUUGCACAGCCUAGCCAAGGCGGACGGGUGAGUAACGCGUAAGGAACUUGCCCUGCAGUCAGGGAUAACAGACGGAAACGACUGAUAAGACCUGGUAAAGUCAGGCGGACUCAUGUCCAGCCUGAUGAAAAGAGAUGCUGCAGGAGAGCCUUGCGUCCUAUUAGCUUGUUGGUGGGGUAACGGCCCACCAAGGCGAUGAUAGGUAGCCGGCCUGAGAGGGUGGACGGCCAAAAGGGGAAGGAGAAACGGCCCUUAAUCCGACGGGAGGAAGAAGGGGGGAAUAUGGGAAAAGGGGGGAAAACUUGAUCCAGAAAUUCUGUGUGGACGAUGAAGGUUUUGGGAUUGAAAAGUGCUUUCAGAAGGGAAGAAAAAAAUGACGGUACCGGCAAAAGAAGCGACGGCUAAAUACGG